This 252-nucleotide ribosomal RNA is filed under the name uncultured bacterium. RNAcentral's name for it is "partial 16S ribosomal RNA". It matches the Rfam family "Bacterial small subunit ribosomal RNA", at positions 100 to 354 of the family's 1533-position model. The record is from RNAcentral.
CGGGGUGAGUAACGCGUGGGUAACCUGCCUCAUACAGGGGGAUAACAGUUAGAAAUGACUGCUAAUACCGCAUAAGCGCACGAGAUCGCAUGAUAAAGUGUGAAAAACUCCGGUGGUAUGAGAUGGACCCGCGUCUGAUUAGCUGGUUGGCGGGGUAACGGCCCACCAAGGCGACGAUCAGUAGCCGGCCUGAGAGGGUGAACGGCCACAUUGGGACUGAGACACGGCCCAAACUCCUACGGAAGGCAGCAG